RNAcentral lists this long non-coding RNA (2333 nucleotides) under Elaeis guineensis (African oil palm). Its description in RNAcentral is "long non-coding RNA (EGUI_LNC036041)". Lineage: Eukaryota; Viridiplantae; Streptophyta; Magnoliopsida; Arecales; Arecaceae. The record is from RNAcentral.
AGGGUCAAAUUUAAGUGACUUGAUCAAGAAAUUAUGAAGCACAGAUUAGAUCAAGAUCAAUCAAUAGAGUUUAUUAAUAAUAAAUUUGAAAGAUACUUGAUAUGAUCAAAUGAGGUUGACAUACAGCACGGAUAUCAAAGUAACUUUGGAUCAUCUUGUUAGAGUCAACAUGAGUCCCUAAAAGAUGAAGGCAGGACUUGGUACAGGAUUCAUAGAACUUUUUAGAGAGAGAAAGUCAAUUAUGAGAGAGAAAAUAGAGAGAGAAAGUGAAGAGAGAAUCUUCGUAUCCUUCAAAAGUGACAAUCAUGAUUGAGAUCAUCAGUGGUCAUAUCAGGGUGACUUAAUAUGGAUUAAUCAUGAUCGAUGUUAUCAAUUUCGAAUAAGAAUCAGAUCGAGAUCCGAUCUACUGCAUGAAUUUCAGAACAGUCUCAGAUUAUCAUAUUUUUAUCUCAAAUUUAUCCUAGGAUCUGUGAUACAAUCAGAGAGAGAGAAUGACCCUAGAGAGACAAAAAAUAUAAAAAAGAUAAAAGGGUCUAGAAAGAGAAAAUAGGAAGAAAAUCUAGAGAGAGAAAAUAGAGAGAAAAGGUAGAGAGAGGAGAGAGGAAAGAGAGAGAAAGGAGAGAGAGAAAUUUUCUCUCUUCUUUUUUUUUUCUUUUUUUAUUUUUUUAUUUUUUUUAAAUAUCACGCCCUAAAUUCGGGACAUAACACGGUCAUACUACCGAGAGAUGGAGCCCACGAUAACACGAAGCCAAUCCAUCAUAAUCAUCUAAAAUUCAUCAAAUAAAAAGAUUCAAUUCCAUUAUUCAUCAAAUAAUCGAACCAAUAUUGGUUCAGAGCAUCUAAAUCCAAAAGUAAGUACCAAUCCGAAUUUUAAUAUUUAUAAAUAACUACAAAUCCAUGAUUAUAAAAUAACUAAACUUCUGCUAUCAAAUUUUCAAGCUUGCUAUGCAGAUUUUCAAGCCUGAAUUCUUUUUACCGAUCCUAACCUUAUUCUUCUGUUCAAACAAAAAGNNNNNNNNNNNNNNNNNNNNCUUUAUCGGAUCAAGCAUAAGUUUUUCAUGAUAAUGCAAUAUUUAAAAAAUAAUAGGUAAUAUAAAAUAAAGCAUUUCAUAGAGCAUAUAACAAAAUAAGUUAUAAAUUCAUCAUGCAUGCAUAAAUCAUGUAUAUUUCACAAUCAUGAAUCGUAAAUCAUUUUCAUCAUGCAUUCAUGUCAUGUUUCAAAAUAUUGCUCACAGAUAUUCGUGCUAAGGUCACUAUUAUACCCGUGACAGGACCAUAUUUCUUAAUCAACAGAGUUCUUAAUUCAUGUGCCAACUUUAUAUCCGCUGGCAGGGCCAUAUUUCGUGUGGAUGCUAGCUCCGGAUGUCGACCUUCCCAAAGAGAUUCAUUCAUAGCCAUCUAAAAAUUUUUGAAAUCAUUAUAUCUUUUUUUUAAAGCAUACAUAUACAUAGACGAAAAAAUAAUAAAAUUCAUGCUUCAUAAUCAUGCUAUUUUCAUAAGACAUAUUCAUGAAAUCAAUGCUCAUAAUAAAACAUGCUUUUUCAUAUCACAUAUGCCGAUCCUUAUUUUAUGAAAAAUUAUGAUUUCAUCAAUAGCAAUUCUUUGCAUAAAAAUAUGAUCAUUUAAAAAUAAAUAAGGAGCAUAAGAUCUACUUACCUCGUUCAUCUUAGAUCUUCAGACUUCGUUAGAAGAAAUAACUAAUCCUAUUUAAAAUAUCAAAUCAUUAUCAAAUUUUAUUCCAUAACAUAACAAGAUUAAAUGAUAAGGAAAGAAGACUGUUGACCGGAUGUGUCGGACCAUCCAGAUACCAGGACAAUUCAAGAUCUCUGAUCUGAGGGUCAGAUUUAAGUGACUUGAUCAAAAAAUUGUGAAGCAGAGAUUAGAUCAAGAUCAAUCAAUAGAGUUCAUUAAUAAUAAAUUUGAAAGAUACUUGAUAUGAUCAAAUGAGGUUGACAUACAGUAUGGAUAUCAAAGCAACUUUGGAUUAUCUUGUUAGAGUCAACAUGAGCCCCUAAAAGAUGAAGGCACGACUUGAUACAGGAUUCAUAGACCUUCUUAGAGAGAGAAAAUCAAUCAUGAGAGAGAAAGUAGAGAGAGAAAGUGGAGAGAGAAUCUCUGUAUCCUUCAAAAGUGGCAAUCAUGAUUGAGAUCAUCAGUGGUCAUAUCAAGAUGACUUAAUAUGGAUUAACCAUGAUUGAUGUUAUCAAUUUCGAAUAAGGAUCGGAUCGAGAUCCGAUCUACUGCACAAAUUUUGGAGCAGUCUCAGAUUAUCAUAUUUUCAUCUCAAGUUUAUCCUAGGAUCUGUGAUAUAAUCAGAGAGAGAGAAUGACCCU